GAUACUAAAUAGAAUCACCUUAAAUCCAAAAACUUGUAUUCAUGAGAAUAAGAUCAAAACAGAUAUCCAUACAUAAAGGCAUUUCCGACAACCAAAUAAACAUGUCAUGACUAAAAAAGGAUUUGGCAACAUGUUUCUUCAAAAUAAACUCCAGAUAACAUCCAACCAUAGAAUUCUGGACAUGCAAGAUAAACACGUCACAUUUUGCAUUAUAAAUUAAGAAAGAUCCUCGAAGUACCAUCAACUCUAUAGCUAAACGAAGAACCAUUACCCAAAAGGGAAACAAAGAAACUAUAGAGCAAAGACACGGGGACAAAAGUGUCAACUAAACGCCACAGGUUCUUUGGAACAUAUAUGUUUCUAUGUACGUAUAUAUAUGUAGCAGCAGUCAAACCCCAGCAGCAAUGACAGUCAAUUCAGUUCAUGGACUACGAGGAGAAAGAGCUCGGACUGGUGUCUUUGACGGACUUACCCUGCAUAGUGCGCAUACCAGACAUAAGAAUGGUUCAUAAUUCAGAUGGUAUUAUAAGAGUUCCAUGAAGGACAAAUAAAAUCAAAGAUAGGCAGCGCACCCAAAAUCACGCCACUGCAGCUUAGAGCAACAAUUGCUCUCAACCUGAAAGAAUGAAACAUUAGGAACUAGAGUCAUAAAGUUCAUAAUGCAAAAUCACUUCUAAUUGCAGUUGCAGAAUUAAAUUUAGGGACUAAGGGUCAUCAUCAAAAGAUUGAAUAUUCUUGAAUUAUCAACAAUGAAAAAAUCUGUAUCGCAUCAGUUAUCAAUAAUCGUAAGCUGAUAUGUUGGAAUGAAAAUUCCAAAAUCACUGUAGCAAACAAAAAAAAGUUAUCUUUCAAAAUAUUGGAACCAAAUUAGGUCUUGGGACAGAACCCAUUUGCAGAAGAUUGAAUGUGUAGUUAUUAGGCUCAUAUAUCAGUGACAAUUUGUAGUUCAAAUUUGCAUCAAGGGUCAUAAAGCGACAAUUUCAUGAAUAUAAUUUCAUCUGAAAAUUGCAUUAUAGCCGUCAAUUCAUAAUGCAUUUUACUCUUAGGGUCAUUGAGGCAUCCAUCCCUUACAAAAUUUAUGAAACAAAGUAUAUUCAUCGAUUCUAACAUUUAAAUUUGGGGUUUAGGGCCAUAUAUACUCCACCCCAUUUUUGGAUAAUGAAAAACAUUCCAAUUCACAAUGAUCCACAUUCUUUCAAACCAUUGAAUUUUCUUGAUAAUUUCACAUAAAUGAAAUGCAAACCGACAAUAAGUUGGACGGCUAACCCUUUUUGAAGGAAAAGGAAAAAGUAGUUUUCUUUCAAAAUAUUGGUUCCAAAAACUGACCUAACAAAAGUUAUUGGGACAAAACACUUUUGCUCAAAUAAGAUUUCUUUUUUUUCUUCUCUCAGUUUCAAACAGAAGAUUGAAUGUUUUUGAAUAUUAAAGAAUGAAAAAAAUGGGUAUUUGAAGAUGCAUCAAUGUAAAUUAAAAAAUUACCGUAUGAAGCAAGCAUGUUCUGAUGUUGCAAGUAAUAGAGAUGAUUGAGUGACCCAACAUUCACACAAUGCAACAUAGGUUCUGAUCAGUUUCAUACUUUGACACAGUGCAAUGAACAAGCCGGUUCUGAAUUCUCAUGAUGUUGCGAUGAACAUUCAUAGUUCAGAUUAUCAGUGACAAUUCAUAGGUCAGAUUUGCAACGAGGGUCAUAAAAGGACAAUAGACACCAUCCUUACGUCGUGAAUACAAUUUCAUAUCAAAAUUGCAUUAUAGGCACCAGUUCAUAAUGCAUGUUACUCUAGCGUCAUUGAGGCAUCCAUCCCUUAUAAAAUUUAUGAAACAAAGUAUAUUAAUCGAUCACAACGUUCAUAUUUGGGGUUUGGGACCAUAUACUCCGCUCCUUUUUUAGAAUGAUCCACAUUCUUUGAGAAGAUAUUGAAUAUUCUUGAAUUAUUAAGAAUGAAAAAAUCCAUAUCGCAUCAGGUAUAUCAAUCGUAAACCGAAAUAUUGGAAUGGAAAUUACAAAAUCACCAUAGCAAACCAAAAAAGUUAUCUCUCAUAUUGGAACCAAAUUAGGUGUUGGGACAGAGCACAUUUGCAGAAGAUUGAAUGAUCAAAAAUGGGUAUCCCAACAUGUAUAUCAAAACAAAUACAUAAAAUUAUUAUCUUUCAAAAGAUUAAUACUUCAAAUAAGUUUUUUUUUUCUUUUUCCCUCGGGCAGAAGAUUGAAAGUUCUUGAAUAAUCAAGAAUGAGGGAAAAAAAUAGGCAACAUUAUAUAUAGGCAAUAUUUCACCUCAGCGACAGUUUCACAAUUAGGGUCACAACAUGACACAAAAUACCAUGCAUGUUUUGAAUAAAAUUUCAUAUUAAAUUGCUUUGAAAGCCACCAUCCAACUUAUCAUUAUGAAUAAAGUGUUCAUAAUGCAAUUUACUCAAAGGGUCAUUGAGGCAUCCAUCCCUUACAAAACUUAUGAAACAUUAGGGACCAGAGUCAUUAAGUUCGAAUCAUGAAUUUAGGGACUAAGGGUCUUCCAAGUUCCAACCAUGCAUUAUGAAUAAAAAUUCAUAUUACAAUUGCAUUCAAGGCAACAACUAGCUUUCGCAUUAAGGCAUCAUCCAACAUUUUAAAGCAUCAAGACAUUCAAUCCAUUAUGAAAACCAUGUAACAAAGAAUAUUCAUCAAUGUAGUUCAGAUUUGCAUCGAGGGUCAUAAAGCGACAAUUUCAUGAAUACAAUUUCAUAUGAAAAUUACAUUAUAGCCAUUCAAUUCAUAAUGCAUUUUACUCUUAGGGUCAUUGAGGCAUCCAUCCAUAUUAAUCGAUUCCAAUAUUCAUAUUUGGGGUUUAGGGCCAUAUACAUACUCCACCCCUUUUUUAGAUAUGAAAAAGAAUCCAUCUCACAGUGAUCCAUAUUCUUGCAGAAGAUUGAAUAUUCUUGAAUUAUCAAGAAUGAAAAAAUCCAUAUCGCAUCAGGUAUCAAUCGUAAACCGAUAUAUUGGAAUUGAAAUUCCAAAAUCACCGUAGCAAACCAAAAAAGUUAUCUUUCAAAAUAUUGGAACCAAAUUAGGUCUUGGGACAGAACCCAUUUGCAGAAGAUUGAAUGUUCUUAAAUAAUCAAAAAAGAAAAAAAUUGAAUCUUUCAAAAAUUGGAACCAAAUUAGGUCUGGGGACAGAACCCAUUUGCAGAAGAUUGAAUGUUCUUGAAUAAUCAAAAAUGAAAAAAAUUGAAUCUUUGAAAACAUCGGUGCCAAACAUCUUUGCUCAAAUAAAGUUUUGAUUUUUUUUCUCAAGCAGAAGAUUGAAUGUUCUUGAAUAAUCAAGAAUGAGAAAAAAUAGACAAAUUUAUACGCAGAAGAUUGAAAGUUGUUGGAUAAUUAAAAAAAAAAAUAAUUACCGUUUGAAACAAGCAUGUUCUGAUGUUGCAAGUAAUAGAGAUGAAUGAGGGACCCAACAAUCACGCCAAUGCAACAUAGGUUCUUU
Molecule: long non-coding RNA, 3459 nt
Filed under: Trifolium pratense (red clover)
Lineage: Eukaryota; Viridiplantae; Streptophyta; Magnoliopsida; Fabales; Fabaceae
Description: long non-coding RNA (TPRA_LNC000235)
Source: RNAcentral